This 358-nucleotide ribosomal RNA is filed under the name uncultured bacterium. RNAcentral describes it as "partial 16S ribosomal RNA". It matches the Rfam family "Bacterial small subunit ribosomal RNA", at positions 338 to 693 of the family's 1533-position model. The record is from RNAcentral.
CCUACGGUAUGCUGCAGUGAGGAAUAUUGGUCAAUGGGCGCGAGCCUGAACCAGCCAAGUAGCGUGAAGGAUGACUGCCCUACGGGUUGUAAACUUCUUUUAUAAAGGAAUAAAGUGAGGCACGUGUGCCUUUUUGUAUGUACUUUAUGAAUAAGGCUCGGCUAACUCCGUACCAGCAGCCGCGGUAAUACGGAGGAUCCGCGCGUUAUCCGGAUUUAUUGUGUUUAAAGGGAGCGUAGAUGUGUUGUUAAGUCAGUUGUGAAAGUGUGCGGCUCAACAGUAAAAUUGCAAUUGAUACUGGCAGUUUUGAGUACAGUUGAGGGAGGCGGAAUGCGUGGUGUAGAGGUGAAAUGCUUAG